GAAUGGGGGAUAUUGCAAAGCUACCGAACAAGGAAGAGAGAUAUGUUGAAAGGAUAGGCACGACGCCAAAGAGAUUUGACCAUGAGAUAGACAUGAGUGGCUACGAUGUGAUGUUGAUGGAGCCCCCUCGUCCACCUCCUCCUCCGCCUCCGCCUCCCCCACCUCCGCCCCCUCCACCUCCUCCGGCACUUGCUGAGAAGGUCAUUGUGAAACCCAUUGUGCCUAAUGAAGUAACUGCAGGGCCUUCUGCCAAAACACCAAAGCCAUCUACAUUUGCGAGGUCGUUCACCAUUGCAGCCCUUCAACAAUAUACAAAUAGCUUUUC
RNAcentral lists this long non-coding RNA (325 nucleotides) under Gossypium barbadense (sea-island cotton). RNAcentral describes it as "long non-coding RNA (GBAR_LNC014525)". Lineage: Eukaryota; Viridiplantae; Streptophyta; Magnoliopsida; Malvales; Malvaceae. The record is from RNAcentral.